Molecule: long non-coding RNA, 2478 nt
Filed under: Solanum tuberosum (potato)
Lineage: Eukaryota; Viridiplantae; Streptophyta; Magnoliopsida; Solanales; Solanaceae
Description: long non-coding RNA (STUB_LNC010561)
Source: RNAcentral
UAAGUAACGUGUUGUGAUUUAUUAAUUCUAGAAUAAAAUAAAAUAUUUCGAUAUAAAAUCAUUAUUCUUCUUGAUAAGAGAGACUUUCUUGACAUCCUUAGGGGUAUUCCUGUCAUUUCUCCUAAGGCUUUCUUUGGACACUCAAAAGGGUAUUCUUGUCAUUUUACCUUGUGGAUAUUCAAAAGAGCAAGCUGGUAAUCUCCCCUUUUCCCCUCUUUCUUGCGUUGCCACCUGUUUCGUACUUCCAUCUGCAACCACAUAUGUUUUGUAUCUUCCUUCUUCUGCAUUGGUUGUUCUGGAAAGUUUCUCCUAAUUUUCUUGAAAAAACAACAGAUUCAUUUGGUGGUGAAAUCAACUCUUCAGAAAUUCCCUCCUACGAACGAAAAAAAGGUAUACCUUCUGUCUUUGGUUUGUUCAUUUCAUGUGUUUAGUGGCGGAGACAGGAAUUCUAUCCAGGGAUUCAAAUAAAAAAAAUGUUGUUGCCUGGAAUCGAACUUGUGACCCAAAGCUCACAUAUAGGCGAAAUCCUGAACCCCAUAAACCAUUGAGCUACUCCUUUGAUAUAUAUGCUCAGGGGGUUCUACACGUACACAAAAAAAUUGAUCUUAUAUAUUUAGUGUAAUUUUUUUUUCGACCCCCUGGACACACUCUACAUCCGCCACUGCAUGUGUUAGGUUUUUCCCUUUCAGCCGAAACUUUUUCCAGUCGAAUUUAGAGAGCCCUUACUGACUUGCGUCUUUCCAUCUUUGUUUCAUCGAUUUAUGUCUUGUUAAAUGUUGUAUUUGUUAGCUUAAGUUGUUGCCUUCUGCUUAAAUUUAAUAUUAUUUUGAAUUGGAAGAAAUCGAUAGAUUUCCAGCUGAGAGUAGCUUGGUGACAAGCUCCCUGCUCCUCACAUAUUAUCUGUUCCUACUUUAGUGAUAAAACUUCAUUUUGCUAUUUAUAUUUUAGUAAUUCUGUUUCAAUUUAUAUGUCUUACUUUUAUUUUUAAUAUGUUAGAUAUUUAAAUUACGAAAAAGACUAUUAUAUAAAAUUAUAACAAUUAACAACUUAGAAUAUUUCAAAAAUAUAUCAACAAAAUUAUUUACUAUAUAAAUUUUAUAAUGUAUAAAUUGAGACAUAUGUGGUAACAUGUUAUUUAAAAAGUACGUAAAAAUAAAGUAUUGUAAAUUACAAUAAUUAACAACUUAAACUAUUUAAAAAUAAGAAGAUAGCCACAUAAAUUGAGACAAAUAAAGUAACAUACAUUGGGCGUUAAGGAUCAGUAAGUGAAUUCUCUGAUUUGUCCUUCUACUUCAAUUUCUUCUAUUUAUAUUUAACACAUUUUUUUGUUCAAUGUAUGUCUUACUUUCCUUUUAAGUAUGUUAUAUAUAUUUAAAAAUUACAAAAAAAUAAUAUUAUAAAUCACAAUCAUUAACAACAUAAAAUAUUUAAAAAACAUAUUGAAAUUUUGAUUGACUCUCAAAAUUUCACACGUGCUCACAUAAAUUGGGACAGAGAGUAAUAUAUAUAUAUUAUUUGAAAUUUACAAAAGACAUGUUUUACACUUAAUACAAAGUAAAUUUAUUUUUAUACAUUAUUAUAUAUUUUAUAUUUAUACAAAAUAAAUACAUUACUUACAUAGAUGUGUAAACAAUUUAUUAUAAUAAUAUAUAAAAAUGCAUAAAUAUUGUUAUAAAAAAAAUAGACAUAACUCAUAAGGGCGUAAACCUGAAAAUGCGAUUAUAUAUGUAGUUUUUAUUUUUGAAAUUUUUUCAAAAUAUAGAUUUUAAUGAUAAAAGUGUCUAUUAUAACAAAAAAAUAUAUAAACACAUAAAUUUAUUAAUUAAAUAUAUGACAUUAAUUUAUCUCAACCAAUAAACAAGUUGAGUUUUAUACAAAAGUAGUCUUAUUAUCAUGAUGAAUUAUUUAAGAACGCAAUAAAUUUAUAUAAUCAACCUCAAAUAAUUCAAAGUUUGAAAACUAAAACCUCAUGAAAAUGGGAGUAAAUGAGAAAGUCAAGUGACUGAUUUGUUCAAACAAAGACAAUGUCAAAUCUAAACACCAAGUUUGGCUUUUCCCAACUAAAAAUACAAGUCUUGCUCCUUGACGACCACAUAAGUAUAUUUUUGGAAUUUAAUUACUUUAAAUAAAUAGAUCAAAAAUUACGUUUAGUAUAUAACUGAAUUUGUGAGACAAUAAACACCUAUUAAGAAAAACAUUUAAGGAUAUCAUGUUAGAGGGGUUCAAUCUUCAUGUUCGAGGACAUCAAAUUUGACUUUCUCAUUAUUAUAUUCUAAUUUCAAUUAGCUUUGUCAUUUUCUUGUACAUCCAAUUCAGUGGCGGAGUCAAAAAUUUCAAGAAGAGUGUUCAAGUGCUAAAGUGAGUCUGCUCUUCCUAAAAAGUGAAAAAAAAGAGUUAUUACUAGUGAGAUUCGAACACUCUUUCAAGAGUGUCUGAAACCACUAGGCUACAUCAUAUUGUUGUGUCAAGGGAGUCCAA